Molecule: ribosomal RNA, 323 nt
Filed under: uncultured bacterium
Lineage: Bacteria
Description: bacterial SSU rRNA
Rfam family: Bacterial small subunit ribosomal RNA
Source: RNAcentral
AACGAACGCUGGCGGCGUGGAUAAGACAUGCAAGUCGAACGGGAGUUUGUUUGUAGCAAUAUGAGUGAACUCUAGUGGCGAAAGGGUGCGUAACACGUGGCUACCUACCUCGAAGUUGGGGAUAGCUCGGCGAAAGCCGGAUUAAUACCGAAUGUGAUCGUGAGAUCAAAGCUGGGGAUCGUAAGACCUGGCGCUUUGAGAUGGGGCUGCGGCCUAUCAGCUAGNGGUGAGGUAACGGCUCACCAAGGCUUAGACGGGUAGCUGGUCUGAGAGGACGACCAGCCACACUGGAACUGAGACACGGUCCAGACACCUACGGUGGC